GCCUGCUGCCAACUCAACAAGUCACAAGCCAGGCAGGUUUGGUGGUUUGGACAAUGAACCUGAUUUGGAGAGAUCACGACACCGUUGGAGAAUCAUCCAGUUAAUUUCCUUGUCUGUGAGCUCCAUGACGGGCAGACAUCAUGCCUUCCUCUCUCUAUUUCCAUCAUCAGGCACUGGACCCUAUACACACUAGAGGCAGAGGACUGUGCAGCUUAGAAGAAGGCAAAUCCAAAAGAAGGACAUGGUUUGGAUCCCCCCAUACGUGGAGAAAAGCCACCUACCAUCCAAAAACUUGCAUCUUGGACUAUUACAUGGA
RNAcentral lists this long non-coding RNA (316 nucleotides) under Homo sapiens (human). RNAcentral's name for it is "HSALNT0370786". Lineage: Eukaryota; Metazoa; Chordata; Mammalia; Primates; Hominidae. The record is from RNAcentral.